AUGAUGCCGCCCAUCGACGCGUCGGAGAUCCCCUGGGUCAGCUUGGCCAGCACCAGCGCCCCUGAGAGGCGCAGAACCAACAUCCAGAAUGUCCUCAAGACCAACCUGUCGAUGCCACUCGCCGAGGUGGUCAUCUGCAACACUUCUAUGGAGUUGAAGCCCGACGCUCUGGCCCUCCUCCCCAACGCGCUGCCUCUCGGCCCGCUGGCCGCGCCCACGUCGAGGCCGGCCGGGCACUUCUUGCCCGAGGACCUCGCCUGCCUCGCCUGGCUCGACGUGCAACCCCCCGGCUCCGUCGUCUACGUGGCCUUCGGCAGCUCCGGCUUCCUGGACGCAACGCAGUUCCAAGAGCUCGCCGACAGGCUCGCGCUCUCCGGCCGGCCGUUCCUGUGGGUGGUCCGCCCAAAGUUCACCACCAGACCCGGGCAGGACCGGUUCGACCUCGACGCGUUCAGGCGGGUGCGUGGAGGGGCAGGGGCUGGUGGUGGGGUGGGCGCCGCAGCAGCGCGUGCUCUCGCACCGCUCCGUGGCAUGCUUCGUGUCGCACUGCGGGUGGAACUCGACCGUGGAGGGCGUGUUGCACGGGUGCCGCUCCUGUGCUGGCCCUACUUCGCGGACCAGUUCUGCAACCAGAGCUACAUGUGCAACGUGUGGGUCACCGGCGCCAGGCGCCGGCGAGACAAGCGAGGGGUCAUGGCGAAGGUGGAGAUCCAGAGCAAGGCCGCGCGGCUGCUCGGUGACGAGGGGGUCAAGGCGAGGGCCGCGGCGUGGAAGGAGGUCGCGUGCCGCAGCAUCCGGGAGGGAGGGUCCUCGCAUCGGAACUUGCUCAAGCUUGUCAGCUUGCUGAGACAACAAUGA
This 858-nucleotide ribosomal RNA is filed under the name Triticum aestivum (bread wheat). RNAcentral's name for it is "partial small subunit ribosomal RNA". The record is from RNAcentral. Lineage: Eukaryota; Viridiplantae; Streptophyta; Magnoliopsida; Poales; Poaceae.